Non-coding RNA from Zonotrichia albicollis (white-throated sparrow), 695 nucleotides. The record is from RefSeq and is a predicted model, not a curated record. NCBI's taxonomy places the organism in Eukaryota, Metazoa, Chordata, Aves, Passeriformes, Passerellidae.
CAGAUGGAUGCAAUACACAUAUGUGGUCCACAAUUUCUAGCUCAAGUAUCUUGAAUGCUGUCUCUGAGAACAAGUCCUACUUUUACUUCAGACAUGCUGAAGGCAGAGCUGUGUGAAGUGAGGGCUCCAGCAGGGGAAUGUGGAACAGUCCAUGCCAAAGCAGUCUGGUAGCCUGGAGUGGAACCUUUGCAAUGACACUUGGACAAGUGAGAAAGUCUGAAUUUAAUUUCAGGGUUCAGAUUUAUUUUUAUAAUUCCUGAAAAGCAGAGACUUCCAAUAAUUUCUAGGAUACCUUUUAUGCAUGAAGUUCCCCAGAUGCCUGAAACAUUACAUGCUGUCUGCUGCUCCUGGUCUGUGUGACACAGGCUGAAGAGGAAGAUGAAGAAGACAGAACUUUAAUCCAAGAUUGCCUGGAACAAUUCAACCCCUGCUUUCUAAAAGGGAGCCAAGUGCAAGCAGCUCCAGGUGUGCUUGGUGUGGCAGAGCCGCAGGUCCCUGGCAGCUCCUGGGAACCCAUCCCGUGGGUUUGGGGAGGAACUAAUGGCUGGAAAGGAGGAAAUGGUCUGCAUGAUUUAACCUGCAAAGCUGGACAGAAAUAUCAGUCCUUGGACAUUAUUCUUCUAUUCCAAGGAAUCAUUAAUCCACUUGAGGGAGAGGCCAACGCUUGCUGUGGUGUUUUACUGGUUCAGUUCCAU